AUGGUAAAACGGUAUCUCGUUGAAUGUGGGGCUAAACUGUUGCUGGUGGCAAGAUGGUUUCGAUGCACGCCACGUUCCACAAGCUACGAUGUCUUUGAACAUAAACGUACUGCCGCAUUUCAGGUCUUUGAGGCAGACUUGCAAUCGAGCCCUGGUCGAUGGAGAAAGGGCAGUGAGUUGGGUGGCCAUGCACUCUUUCUUGGCCAACAUGGCUCCAAGUGCCUGCCUGCUGUGGAAUGCAGUGGAUACAAUGAGGAUUGCAUCUACUUCAUGUGUGACUAUGUCUGGCCCACCUCUUCUGCAAAUCCUCUUUGCGACUCUGGUGUGUACAGCAUGAGGGAUGGCACAAUCACGCCGUUGAUGUCAGAGGCAGCAGCAGCACCGCUGCAGCGUGUUGGACAGUGGCGGCCCACAUGGUUCUUCCCUCCUCAAGCUGUGUGA
RNAcentral lists this ribosomal RNA (441 nucleotides) under Triticum aestivum (bread wheat). RNAcentral describes it as "partial small subunit ribosomal RNA". Lineage: Eukaryota; Viridiplantae; Streptophyta; Magnoliopsida; Poales; Poaceae. The record is from RNAcentral.